This is a long non-coding RNA of Camelina sativa (false flax), 1251 nucleotides long. RefSeq lists it as uncharacterized. Lineage: Eukaryota; Viridiplantae; Streptophyta; Magnoliopsida; Brassicales; Brassicaceae. The record is from RefSeq and is a predicted model, not a curated record.
AAAGAAAAGAAAGGAAAAGAAACCGUUGGCAAAAAGAAGAAAAGACCUGUUUCAAAGAGUGGUUCAGCCGUUCAUGCACUAAGAAUGUAUCACAAGAGAAGCGGCCUAAAGUUGUGAAUGAGGUGAGAAGGAAAGUGGAGACUCUAAAGGAUACAAGAGACCAUUCGUUUUUGUUUUCCGAUGAUGCGGAGCUUCCUGUUCCGAAGAAGGAAUCUCUGUCUCCAAGUGGCUCUUUUCCUAAUUCUGAGGCUCAGUCUGCUCAAUUGUCAACGGGUAGUAGAACAGAGAAAUGUUUCCCGUGACAUCGCCACACCCCGAAUAAUACCAAAAAGAAUCAGUGCCUACCUCAAAAUACCAGGUAUCAUGAUCAUGAUCAUGAUCUUUCACAUCUCUCUCUUAUGUAUUUUCUCUAGCAGGGCACUAAUUUUUCAAGAGAAACUAAUUUUCUUCAUGGCAGUUUAUAAUUGGUUUUGAGUUCUAAAAAUAAAAUAAAAACUAAAUUAAAUUAUUUCUAAUAUAAAUAUUAGUUUUGAGAAAUUUUGUGAGUUUUGCACCGCUGCAUAUGCUUUUAUAAAGAAUACUUUGAAAAAAUAUUUUUAGUCAAGUGGUUACAUAAUGAUGAUAAAAGAAAAAGAAAAGAAAUUCAACUUUCAGUUGAUUAUAAGCCUAAAAUUUAUAGUUUAUAAUAGAUACAGAAUCAAAACUACAUAUACUUUAACAUUAAAAUUUACUAAUAUUCAACCAAAAAAUUAUAUUAUAAACUACUUAAAAAUAUAUUACUUUAUUAAAAAUAAUAGGGAAGUAGUUAUUAUGUGAUCACAUAUAAUAAUUCCAUGCGUAUGCAUGGGUCAUAUACUAGUACUAAAUAAAUUAAAAAAAUAUUAAAUAAAGAUUAAAAAAAAUUAGAGAUUGAGACAGAGAAAGACAAGAAAAACACGAGGAAGUUAGACAACACACCCGCCAAAGGAGAGAAACGCAACAGUGUUCUUUUUUUAUAACAGAUCUGCGUUAAGUAACAUCAUCGUACCGUACGAUCUCAUCUUUGAAGGUAAAGUUACUAUAUUACCCUUUAGAUUGUAUGGCUAAUUACGGUUCUAUGCCAUCGCCAUUGAACGAAACGUCGUCUUCGGGUUUUGUUUUCUCUCCGCGUCGGAAAAAGUAAAGUACUUGACCGAUUCUGGGAGAAACGAACUAUUUCCCACCAAGAACUAUCAUAUCUCGCUGGAUGGAGCCCGAACUUGAGCCACAAUC